GAUUUAUGUAGGGCGCGUUCUCGCUCGCCAGAAAGAGCUGCUGUUUGGUUGCAGUUCCCCCUGGUGGCCAGAGGCAGAGCAAGGGCUGUUACAAAAAAAGGGAGCGAAAGCAGAACCCAUCGAGCUCCUAAUUGGCUAGCUUUAUAGGUUUUGGCCCAGGUUGUACACCUGAGGAUAAUACUAAUGGCUCUCUGUGGGCUGAAUACCAUGUUGGUGAGCUCAGUUUUAUGAAGGGAACGUUCGUUUUAUAAAACUACUGCCCCGAAGAGUCACAGAAUCCUGAAACACCCAAAAAAGUUUUCAGGAAACAAGAGGACAGCAGAUCAAGUAAAGGGCAUCCCAAGGAAUCAGAUGGAGGAAAAUUAAGGUUGAAAUCCAGGCCCAUUGAUCCCAAAGUCCAUGUUGUUAGGCCACAAAGAAUCAACAAAUCACACCCUGCCUCCCCUGGAUCGGAAGAGAGUUUCCACCCUCACCUCUCCUGCCUGGCUGGGGGAGAGAGAAUCCAGUGGGGGCUACUGAAGAGAACA
Long non-coding RNA from Chinchilla lanigera (long-tailed chinchilla), 527 nucleotides. RefSeq lists it as uncharacterized. The record is from RefSeq and is a predicted model, not a curated record. Lineage: Eukaryota; Metazoa; Chordata; Mammalia; Rodentia; Chinchillidae. The transcript is spliced from 3 exons.